CAAAGUCCACUCUGAGCUUUUCCUCUGGGAACAGAUCCCAGAUUAUUCCAGACUUAAGACAUGGAGAUAUAUCUUGCUAGAGUGUAAGAUGAAAGAGGACCUGCCCUCCAUUCUAUCUACUCCCUCUCUGCAAAGGCCAUUUUGAAGAUCUCAGUUUUACUGAAAGGGGUCUGCCACACAUAACUUCCCUGGUGUACCAGCAACAAGUGUUCAGUGGACCAUGGCAACACAAAGAAUGACGGAGGAGAGAAAAUGCUAUGCAGAAGUGAUAGUCAAGAUGAAGAUGUGGGAGAGGAGCAGCCCCCAGUAUAUAUUCAGUGUGUCCUCUGAAGUAACAACCAUCCCAUCUGGCUGAGAAGUGAUGGACACGGCUCCUUAACCACACUGUACCCUCUGUUCUUGGCACCUCUCUACCAGAAAGAUAUCGACAAAUUGGAUGGAAUUCAGAGAACAGUAAGAAAAAUGAUUAAAGAGAUGGAGGCAGUGACUUAUGAGGAAAGAUGAAAAGGACUAAAUCUGUAUAGCUUGGCAAAGCAACAACUGAGAAGGCACCUCAAAUAAAGGUGGGGAAAAGAAUGAAAGAAAUGGCUUUGGCCUGUGCCUGUUUGACCUCUGAGAGAUACUUUUUGCAAGAAAUUGUUAAGUUUUGGCCCAAAAAGUGGUCGGUCUUUUAUCCUUCCUUGUGGAGGCCAAAAUGCAAACCAGGAUGAAGAAACCAUCAGUGGCAGUUUGGGGAGGUGGAGGAGGGACUAACUAGACUCAGUGAAUCACCAAGGAAACAUGAGGCCUAUUUCUCUGUGAAGCUGAACUUCAAAAAACAAUCUAAGAGAUACAAAGGGAAAAGUGUGACUGCUCUGACAGCAAAAACAAGCAAAUAUCUCCAGAGGGGAUUAAUCCUUCUGCUUCAAAGUAACUAAAACAAAGAAAGCUGAGCCAGCUUCACUGGAAACAACACCUGUCCAUCAGACAAGGAUGAGCUAAUCAAAAGAAAACACUGCCUAUGUGCACGACUCAGCAGCCUGAACAGCUAAUACCAAGGAACACGUUUUCACUAUAAAGAUUCAGCUUUCAAAAUCCAGUUCCCUCUUGUAGAGCCACAGGGUUAAAAGGGACCUUAGAGAUCAUCUACAUACAGGCCAAACCCUCAAUGAAUGCCAGUGUUCGCCUUAUGUUCUUGCCGGACUCUUUUCUGACCUCUGUUCUGUCAGGAUGUUUCCUGUUUUGCAAAACAGCUUUAAUCCUUGAGUAUAUUUAAUUGUUAGAAAACAGUUCCUCAAAUUUGACCCCAAAUUUAAGUCUAAUUUAUGAGAAAGUUUUGCCUUUGGAGACAGGUUUAAUUUUACUUCCAUGUGGAAAACCUUCAAAUAAAAUGAUGACUAUUGUGUACUCA
Molecule: long non-coding RNA, 1390 nt
Organism: Pan troglodytes (chimpanzee)
Lineage: Eukaryota; Metazoa; Chordata; Mammalia; Primates; Hominidae
Exons: 4
Source: RefSeq, a predicted model, not a curated record